GACGAACGCUGGCGGCGUGCUUAACACAUGCAAGUCGAACGGUGAAGCGCUUUCCUUUUUGGUUGGUGUGGAUGAGCGGCGAACGGGUGAGUAACACGUGAGUAACCUGCCCCCUUCUUCUGGAUAACCGCAUGAAAGUGUGGCUAAUACGGGAUAUUCUGCGCCUGCUGCAUGGUGGGUGUGGGAAAGAUUGUGCCUUUGGGUGUUUUCGGUGGGGGAUGGGCUCGCGGCCUAUCAGCUUGUUGGUGGGGUGAUGGCCUACCAAGGCGGUGACGGGUAGCCGGCCUGAGAGGGUGGACGGUCACACUGGGACUGAGACACGGCCCAGACUCCUACGGGAGGCAGCAGUGGGGAAUAUUGCACAAUGGGCGCAAGCCUGAUGCAGCGACGCCGCGUGAGGGAUGGAGGCCUUCGGGUUGUGAACCUCUUUCGCCAGUGAAGCAGGCCUGCUCCUUGUGGGUGGGUUGACGGUAGCUGGAUAAGAAGCGCCGGCUAACUACGUG
Molecule: ribosomal RNA, 503 nt
Filed under: uncultured bacterium
Lineage: Bacteria
Description: partial 16S ribosomal RNA
Rfam family: Bacterial small subunit ribosomal RNA
Source: RNAcentral